UCAGGAUGAACGCUAGCUACAGGCUUAACACAUGCAAGUCGAGGGGCAGCACCAGGUUAGCUUGCUAACCUGGAUGGCGACCGGCGCACGGGUGAGUAACGCGUAUCCAACCUUCCCCCCUGCUCAGGGAUAGCCCGGUGAAAACCGGAUUAAGACCUGAUAGUUUCACUAGAUGGCAUCUGACGGUGAAUAAAGGUUUCGGCAAGGGAUGGGGAUGCGUCUGAUUAGCUUGUUGGCGGGUAACGGCCCACCAAGGCGACGAUCAGUAGGGGUUCUGAGAGGAAGGUCCCCCACAUUGGAACUGAGACACGGUCCAAACUCCUACGGGAGGCAGCAGUGAGGAAUAUUGGUCAAUGGGCGGAAGCCUGAACCAGCCAAGUAGCCGUGCAGGAAGACGGCCCUAUGGGUUGUAAACUGCUUUUGUGCGGGAAUAAAGUCAGGGACGCGUCCCUGUUUGCAUGUACCGCAAGAAUAAGGACCGGCUAAUUCCGUGCCAGCCGCCGC
This 504-nucleotide ribosomal RNA is filed under the name uncultured bacterium. Its description in RNAcentral is "bacterial SSU rRNA". It matches the Rfam family "Bacterial small subunit ribosomal RNA", at positions 24 to 518 of the family's 1533-position model. The record is from RNAcentral.